ACAGUAGACAGUCCAGCUUCACAAUUGCUUGUUUUCAUACCUCUAUUGCCACCUCUAAUAUCAUAAUCUCUAAAAUUCUCUCAUAUUUAAAAUAUUUUCUUGUCUUUCCAUCUUCUCUCACUAAAUGAAACCCAUUGCAUUUUCCCCAGCCUUUGACUGUAAUCUCUCCUACCUUCAUUUCCUUCCCUCACCAAGCCUGAAUUAUUUCAAGUAUACUGUACUUUCUUACCAAUGUUUUCAUCUGUUUUUCUCCCUUG
This 257-nucleotide long non-coding RNA is filed under the name Marmota monax (woodchuck). The record is from RNAcentral. Lineage: Eukaryota; Metazoa; Chordata; Mammalia; Rodentia; Sciuridae.